This 468-nucleotide ribosomal RNA is filed under the name uncultured bacterium. RNAcentral's name for it is "partial 16S ribosomal RNA". It matches the Rfam family "Bacterial small subunit ribosomal RNA", at positions 28 to 507 of the family's 1533-position model. The record is from RNAcentral.
GACGAACGCUGGCGGCGUGCUUAACACAUGCAAGUCGAACGGAAAGGCCCUGCUUUUGUGGGGUGCUCGAGUGGCGAACGGGUGAGUAACACGUGAGUAACCUGCCCUUGACUUUGGGAUAACUUCAGGAAACUGGGGCUAAUACCGGAUAGGAGCUCCUGCUGCAUGGUGGGGGUUGGAAAGUUUCGGCGGUUGGGGAUGGACUCGCGGCUUAUCGGCUUGUUGGUGGGGUAGUGGCUUACCAAGGCUUUGACGGGUAGCCGGCCUGAGAGGGUGACCGGCCACAUUGGGACUGAGAUACGGCGCAGACUCCUACGGGCGGUAGCAGUCGGGAAUAUUGCACAAUGGGCGGAAGCCUGAUGCAGCAACGCCGCGUGCGGGAUGACGGCCUUCGGGUUGUAAACCGCUUUCGCCUGUGACGAAGCGUGAGUGACGGUAAUGGGUAAAGAAGCACCGGCUAACUACGUG